This 494-nucleotide ribosomal RNA is filed under the name uncultured bacterium. Its description in RNAcentral is "partial 16S ribosomal RNA". It matches the Rfam family "Bacterial small subunit ribosomal RNA", at positions 28 to 507 of the family's 1533-position model. The record is from RNAcentral.
GACGAACGCUGGCGGCGUGCUUAACACAUGCAAGUCGAACGGACAGGCCUGCUUUCCCUUGUGGAUUGCGGGUCCUCGAGUGGCGAACGGGUGCGUAACACGUGAGUGAUCUGCCCCCAACUUGGGUAUAAGCCUGGGAAACUGGGUCUAAUUACCGAUAGGACCGCAUGGUGGUGUCUGUGGUGGCAAACGUUCUUCUAGUGGUUGGGGAUGAGCUCGCGGCCUAUCAGCUUGUUGGUGGGGUAAUGGCCUACCAAGGCGGCGACGGGUAGCCGGCCUGGGAGGGUGGACGGCCACAUUGGGACUGGGAUACGGCCCAGACUGCUACGGGAAGCAGCAGUGGGGAAGAUUGCACAAUGGGCGGAAGCCUGAUGCAGCGACGCCGCGUUGGGGAUGACGGCCUUCGGGUUGUAAACUCCUUGCGACCGCGAGGAGGCCACCUAAUUGGAAGGGUGGUGACGGUAGUGGUAGAAGAAGCACCGGCUAACUACGUG